GAUGAACGCUGGCGGCGUGCCUAAUACAUGCAAGUCGAGCGAACGGACGAGAAGCUUGCUUCUCUGAUGUUAGCGGCGGACGGGUGAGUAACACGUGGAUAACCUACCUAUAAGACUGGGAUAACUUCGGGAAACCGGAGCUAAUACCGGAUAAUAUUUUGAACCGCAUGGUUCAAAAGUGAAAGACGGUCUUGCUGUCACUUAUAGAUGGAUCCGCGCUGCAUUAGCUAGUUGGUAAGGUAACGGCUUACCAAGGCAACGAUGCAUAGCCGACCUGAGAGGGUGAUCGGCCACACUGGAACUGGGCCACGGUCCAGACUCCUACGGGAGGCAGCAGUAGGGAAUCUUCCGCGAUGGGCGAAAGCCUGACGGAGCAACGCCGCGUGAGUGAUGAAGGUCUUCGGAUCGUAAAACUCUGUUAUUAGGGAAGAACAUAUGUGUAAGUAACUGUGCACAUAUUGACGGUACCUAAUCAGAAAGCCACGGCUAACUCCGUG
Molecule: ribosomal RNA, 497 nt
Filed under: uncultured bacterium
Lineage: Bacteria
Description: partial 16S ribosomal RNA
Rfam family: Bacterial small subunit ribosomal RNA
Source: RNAcentral